CAGCACCUCAAGUGUUCAGGAUGAUUAUUGGGCCUAAAGCAUCCGUAGCCGGCUCUGUAAGUUUUCGGUUAAAUCUGUACGCUCAACGUACAGGCUGCCGGGAAUACUGCAGCGCUAGGGAGUGGGAGAGGUAGACGGUACUCGGUAGGAAGGGGUAAAAUCCUUUGAUCUAUUGAUGACCACCUGUGGCGAAGGCGGUCUACCAGAACACGUCCGACGGUGAGGGAUGAAAGCUGGGGGAGCAAACCGGAUUAGAUACCCGAGUAGUCC
RNAcentral lists this ribosomal RNA (270 nucleotides) under uncultured archaeon. Its description in RNAcentral is "partial 16S ribosomal RNA". It matches the Rfam family "Archaeal small subunit ribosomal RNA", at positions 477 to 747 of the family's 1478-position model. The record is from RNAcentral.